UUGUCAAGUCAAAGACGUAUCAUUUCCAAAUUUUGUUUCAUUGUCAUUGAUGAUUUCAAUUUAAUAACAAUUAUCUUUUUUUGUUCUGAUUCAAAACUUUUAUCAAGAUGUAUUUUAAAUUGUGUAUCCUUUUGGUUGCUAUCUUAGCAGUCACUAACGUGGAAGCCUCACAUGGCUACGACUUUGGCGAUUUUUUAGCUACAGUUUUAGGGAUUGGAAUUGCUGUUGUAGGCAUCCUCGCAUGUUUAGGAAACUACGCAAGACAGAAAGCGAGGAAUGAAUUCAUUUAACCAAAAUGUAGGUUGUCGAAGUAAGAAUAAAUCUCCAGGAUGCUAUCUUUAUGUUGAUUAAGAGAAUCUUUAAAGUUAAGGAACAAAGACACUAUAUUAAGAUUAUAAACAAGUUUUUUUUUUCUAUGUAUUAUUCACUCACUUAGUAUUAUUUUGUUUUCAUUUAUAUAAGAAUCUUAUAUUUGUGUGUUAAAAAUACAUUUGGUUUAUAACAUAUACAUUAUUUCUAUAGAACACUUUUGUUUGGAAAAUUGAUUUCACAUGUAGUUGGGUUUUUGAUUGUAAUACAUUAUACAUAUACAUUUGAAUUGAAA
Amyelois transitella is the source of this 604-nucleotide long non-coding RNA. RefSeq lists it as uncharacterized. The record is from RefSeq and is a predicted model, not a curated record. NCBI's taxonomy places the organism in Eukaryota, Metazoa, Arthropoda, Insecta, Lepidoptera, Pyralidae. The transcript is spliced from 2 exons.